This 518-nucleotide ribosomal RNA is filed under the name uncultured bacterium. Its description in RNAcentral is "bacterial SSU rRNA". It matches the Rfam family "Bacterial small subunit ribosomal RNA", at positions 12 to 518 of the family's 1533-position model. The record is from RNAcentral.
UUCGAUUCUGGCUCAGGAUGAACGCUAGCGAUAGGCCUAACACAUGCAAGUCGAGGGGCAUCACAUGAAGUAGCAAUACGGAUGGUGGCGACCGGCGCACGGGUGAGUAACACGUAUGCAACCUGCCUUCAACAAGGGCAUAACCCGUUGAAAGACGGACUAAUUCCCUAUAACACAGGGGUCCCGCAUGGGAAUAUUUGUUAAAGAUUAAUCGGUUGAAGAUGGGCAUGCGUUCCAUUAGCUGGUUGGCGGGGUAACGGCCCACCAAGGCAACGAUGGAUAGGGGAACUGAGAGGUUUAUCCCCCACACUGGUACUGAGACACGGACCAGACUCCUACGGGAGGCAGCAGUGAGGAAUAUUGGUCAAUGGACGCAAGUCUGAACCAGCCAAUGUCGCGUGAAGGAAGACGGCCCUACGGGUUGUAAACUUCUUUUGUAAGGGAAUAAAGUGGGCCACGUGUGGCUUUUUGCAUGUACCUUACGAAUAAGGAUCGGCUAACUCCGUGCCAGCCGCGGC